UACAGAGACUGCAAGCGUUAUUCGGAUUCACUGGGCGUAAAGGGUGCGCAGGCGGCCAAGUGUGUGAGGCGUGAAAGCCCGGGGCUUAACCCCGGAAUUGCACCUCAAACUACAUGGCUAGAGCAUUGGAGAGGGUAGCGGAAUUCACGGUGUAGCAGUGAAAUGCGUAGAUAUCUGGAGGAACACCGGUGGCGAAGGCGGCAUCCUGGACCAACACUGACACUGAGGAGCGAAAGCCAGGGGAGCAAACGGG
Molecule: ribosomal RNA, 253 nt
Filed under: uncultured bacterium
Lineage: Bacteria
Description: partial 16S ribosomal RNA
Rfam family: Bacterial small subunit ribosomal RNA
Source: RNAcentral